Vigna unguiculata (cowpea) is the source of this 1815-nucleotide unclassified non-coding RNA. Lineage: Eukaryota; Viridiplantae; Streptophyta; Magnoliopsida; Fabales; Fabaceae. The record is from RefSeq and is a predicted model, not a curated record.
UAAACCAAACCAAUCCUCCCUCUAAAAACCUUUGUGUUCCUAAAUCAAACAAAUCAAACAAAAGCAUCCUCUGCAACAGUUUCCAUCUCCAUCAGCACAUGCAGGAGGCGUUGGCUAUACAAUGCAUAUAGGUUUGAAGAAGGCAAAGUCACCUGGAAGAAGCUUUGAUAUACAUUUAGGUAAAAUGAGAGACAGCACAGUGCUAAUUUGUCACCAAAAUAACAGUGGAAUAGUAGAAGCAUCUGCACCUUCAGUUGAGAAAGAUUUUGCCUCUACAGUAAAGGCAGCUACUGAAGCUCCUCCAUCGUCAUUUGAGUUCUAUGUCUGGUCAGAUGUGGGAGUUAGUCUUCAUGUUGAUUUAAAUUUGUCCCCAACAGAUUGGACUAAUAGGUUUAGAAACGAGGUUUGCAUAAGUGAGAAUAUGCAUGAAAACAAAUCCCGAAGCCUUUGGCAGGAUCUCAGUGACUUAGCCGAGAAUUCUACACAAGGAAAAUCUUCCUUUCUGUGGAGUACAAAUUCUGGCCAAAUUGAUGAGCAUGAUAGUCAGGCCAGGUCUCCCUCAAGCUUGAAACUGACAAAAGAUGGUGCUACAGAUUUAGAUCAACAGAAUACAGAUGGCAGUCCUUUGAUAUGUAAUUCAUUGACUCCAUGCAGCAUGACUGUAAAAGUGAAAGAUAAUUUACAGGAAAAGCAUUCAACUCUCUCAGCUGAAGUUAGAAAUGGUGCACUGAACACUUUUAUUUGUGGUGCCGAAUCUUUUGCUAGAGACAAGUCUAGGAAAAUCACCGAUUCAAAUGCUACCAAUAUGCCAUUCAUCAAGUCAAUUUGUGAUUCUGUUGUCAAAUCACCAUCAUAUCCUGGCAUACUAGAACUUCAAAAUUCAAAACCUGAUAAUGAAUGUUUUGAGGAUUGUGCUCUGCUAAAUGAUUCUUGCUUUGCGAAUCCUAGUUCGGUGUGUGCGGGAGCUUCAGUGAGUAGUUCUGUGGGAGUACAAAACUCAGAAGUUAUAAAUUGUCGUAAAAAUGGAUCAGUUUCACUCUAUGACAAUGAUGAUUCACUGGAUUUAAGUGAUCCAAAGAGCACUUUUCCUGACAUGGAACAGGGUAGACUAGUCAAAAGUGAGAUUAUUUUUGAAACUGACAGCAACAAUUUCACAUCAUUAACUGAUGAAUGGGAGGGUGGCAGGAUUGUUGAUCGAAGGGAGAGUUCAGAAUGCUCCCAAUUUGGUGAUCCUCCCAAGAGAUCUAACCUAGAUUGUGAUAAUCGAGAUUCUACAAUGGAGCACAGCAAAAAGAGAAAAAGCAGAGACUCUGAGAUUCAAGUUUCAAAUGGUACGACAAGAGUUUUACGAAGCAUGAAGAAUAGUGGUAUGAAGCUGCCCAGAAGAUCCAUGAGGCUAAUCUCCAAGUGAGCUCAUGAAGUGCUUGGUGCAUUAUUUGGAGUAAUUAAUUAGUUCCAGAUUUUUCAACGAAGUUAUAAUCCACUGUUUAAAAGUUGAAGAAUGAUAGUUAGUAGGUUGCUCAUUCUUUUGGAAGAGGUUAUACUCACAGUAAUAAAAAGCUAGGUGGCAUUUUUGAAAGAUUUCAGUUAUCAAACAACUAAAGAAUGUGCCAUAGUUCUGUCUAUUUUUGGCAUUUAUAAAUGAUAAAAAUCAUUGCUUGUUUUAAUAUUUAUAUUUAUCCUUUAAGACAACAUUUCUGAUUGUAUAGUUUGGCAUGUAAAUGUAUCCUUCAUCCCUUCUUGUGUUUGUAGAAACCUGAGCACAUUUUUCUUCUUUUUUUUUUUAUGCGAUAUUCAUGCUAUGAUUAAUGUUUA